CGUACACUCCUACGGGAGGCAGCAGUGGGGAAUAUUGCACAAUGGGCGCAAGCCUGAUGCAGCGACGCCGCGUGGGGGAUGAAGGCCUUCGGGUUGUAAACUCCUUUCGCUAGGGACGAAGCUUUUUUGUGACGGUACCUAGAUAAGAAGCACCGGCUAACUACGUGCCAGCAGCCGCGGUAAUACGUAGGGUGCGAGCGUUGUCCGGAAUUACUGGGCGUAAAGGGCUCGUAGGUGGUUUGUCGCGUCGUCUGUGAAAUUCUGGGGCUUAACUCCGGGCGUGCAGGCGAUACGGGCAUAACUUGAGUGCUGUAGGGGUAACUGGAAUUCCUGGUGUAGCGGUGAAAUGCGCAGAUAUCAGGAGGAACACCGAUGGCGAAGGCAGGUUACUGGGCAGUUACUGACGCUGAGGAGCGAAAGCAUGGGUAGCGAACAGGAUUAGAUACCCUAGUAGUCCCA
RNAcentral lists this ribosomal RNA (459 nucleotides) under uncultured organism. RNAcentral's name for it is "partial 16S ribosomal RNA". It matches the Rfam family "Bacterial small subunit ribosomal RNA", at positions 330 to 797 of the family's 1533-position model. The record is from RNAcentral.